This 1185-nucleotide ribosomal RNA is filed under the name Bifidobacterium bifidum. Its description in RNAcentral is "bacterial SSU rRNA". It matches the Rfam family "Bacterial small subunit ribosomal RNA", at positions 37 to 1229 of the family's 1533-position model. The record is from RNAcentral. Lineage: Bacteria; Bacillati; Actinomycetota; Actinomycetes; Bifidobacteriales; Bifidobacteriaceae.
UGGCGGCGUGCUUAACACAUGCAAGUCGAACGGGAUCCAUCGGGCUUUGCCUGGUGGUGAGAGUGGCGAACGGGUGAGUAAUGCGUGACCGACCUGCCCCAUGCUCCGGAAUAGCUCCUGGAAACGGGUGGUAAUGCCGGAUGUUCCACAUGAUCGCAUGUGAUUGUGGGAAAGAUUCUAUCGGCGUGGGAUGGGGUCGCGUCCUAUCAGCUUGUUGGUGAGGUAACGGCUCACCAAGGCUUCGACGGGUAGCCGGCCUGAGAGGGCGACCGGCCACAUUGGGACUGAGAUACGGCCCAGACUCCUACGGGAGGCAGCAGUGGGGAAUAUUGCACAAUGGGCGCAAGCCUGAUGCAGCGACGCCGCGUGAGGGAUGGAGGCCUUCGGGUUGUAAACCUCUUUUGUUUGGGAGCAAGCCUUCGGGUGAGUGUACCUUUCGAAUAAGCGCCGGCUAACUACGUGCCAGCAGCCGCGGUAAUACGUAGGGCGCAAGCGUUAUCCGGAUUUAUUGGGCGUAAAGGGCUCGUAGGCGGCUCGUCGCGUCCGGUGUGAAAGUCCAUCGCUUAACGGUGGAUCUGCGCCGGGUACGGGCGGGCUGGAGUGCGGUAGGGGAGACUGGAAUUCCCGGUGUAACGGUGGAAUGUGUAGAUAUCGGGAAGAACACCGAUGGCGAAGGCAGGUCUCUGGGCCGUCACUGACGCUGAGGAGCGAAAGCGUGGGGAGCGAACAGGAUUAGAUACCCUGGUAGUCCACGCCGUAAACGGUGGACGCUGGAUGUGGGGCACGUUCCACGUGUUCCGUGUCGGAGCUAACGCGUUAAGCGUCCCGCCUGGGGAGUACGGCCGCAAGGCUAAAACUCAAAGAAAUUGACGGGGGCCCGCACAAGCGGCGGAGCAUGCGGAUUAAUUCGAUGCAACGCGAAGAACCUUACCUGGGCUUGACAUGUUCCCGACGACGCCAGAGAUGGCGUUUCCCUUCGGGGCGGGUUCACAGGUGGUGCAUGGUCGUCGUCAGCUCGUGUCGUGAGAUGUUGGGUUAAGUCCCGCAACGAGCGCAACCCUCGCCCCGUGUUGCCAGCACGUUAUGGUGGGAACUCACGGGGGACCGCCGGGGUUAACUCGGAGGAAGGUGGGGAUGACGUCAGAUCAUCAUGCCCCUUACGUCCAGGGCUUCACGCAUGCUACA